GCUUAACACAUGCAAGUCGAGGGGCAGCAUGGUCUUAGCUUGCUAAGGCCGAUGGCGACCGGCGCACGGGUGAGUAACACGUAUCCAACCUGCCGUCUACUCUUGGACAGCCUUCUGAAAGGAAGAUUAAUACAAGAUGGCAUCAUGAGUCCACAUGUUCACAUGAUUAAAGGUAUUCCGGUAGACGAUGGGGAUGCGUUCCAUUAGAUAGUAGGCGGGGUAACGGCCCACCUAGUCUUCGAUGGAUAGGGGUUCUGAGAGGAAGGUCCCCCACAUUGGAACUGAGACACGGUCCAAACUCCUACGGGAGGCAGCAGUGAGGAAUAUUGGUCAAUGGGCGAGAGCCUGAACCAGCCAAGUAGCGUGAAGGAUGACUGCCCUAUGGGUUGUAAACUUCUUUUAUAAAGGAAUAAAGUCGGGUAUGGAUACCCGUUUGCAUGUACUUUAUGAAUAAGGAUCGGCUAACUCCGUGCCAGCAGCCGCGGUAAUACGGAGGAUCCGAGCGUUAUCCGGAUUUAUUGGGUUUAAAGGGAGCGUAGAUGGAUGUUUAAGUCAGUUGUGAAAGUUUGCGGCUCAACCGUAAAAUUGCAGUUGAUACUGGAUAUCUUGAGUGCAGUUGAGGCAGGCGGAAUUCGUGGUGUAGCGGUGAAAUGCUUAGAUAUCACGAAGAACUCCGAUUGCGAAGGCAGCCUGCUAAGCUGCAACUGACAUUGAGGCUCGAAAGUGUGGGUAUCAAACAGGAUUAGAUACCCUGGUAGUCCACACGGUAAACGAUGAAUACUCGCUGUUUGCGAUAUACAGCAAGCGGCCAAGCGAAAGCGUUAAGUAUUCCACCUGGGGAGUACGCCGGCAACGGUGAAACUCAAAGGAAUUGACGGGGGCCCGCACAAGCGGAGGAACAUGUGGUUUAAUUCGAUGAUACGCGAGGAACCUUACCCGGGCUUAAAUUGCAGAUGAAUUACGGUGAAAGCCGUAAGCCGCAAGGCAUCUGUGAAGGUGCUGCAUGGUUGUCGUCAGCUCGUGCCGUGAGGUGUCGGCUUAAGUGCCAUAACGAGCGCAACCCUUGUUGUCAGUUACUAACAGGUUCCGCUGAGGACUCUGACAAGACUGCCAUCGUAAGAUGUGAGGAAGGUGGGGAUGACGUCAAAUCAGCACGGCCCUUACGUCCGGGGCUACACACGUGUUACAAUGGGGGGUACAGAGGGCCGCUACCACGCGAGUGGAUGCCAAUCCCAAAAACCUCUCUCAGUUCGGACUGGAGUCUGCAACCCGACUCCACGAAGCUGGAUUCGCUAGUAAUCGCGCAUCAGCCACGGCGCGGUGAAUACGUUCCCGGGCCUUGUACACACCGCCCGUCAAGCCAUGGGAGCCGGGGGUACCUGAAGUGCGUAACCGCGAGGAGCGCCCUAGGGUAAAACUGGUGACUGGGGCUAAGU
This 1436-nucleotide ribosomal RNA is filed under the name uncultured organism. Its description in RNAcentral is "16S ribosomal RNA". It matches the Rfam family "Bacterial small subunit ribosomal RNA". The record is from RNAcentral.